This 493-nucleotide ribosomal RNA is filed under the name uncultured Sphingobacteriales bacterium. Its description in RNAcentral is "bacterial SSU rRNA". It matches the Rfam family "Bacterial small subunit ribosomal RNA", at positions 888 to 1382 of the family's 1533-position model. The record is from RNAcentral. Lineage: Bacteria; Pseudomonadati; Bacteroidota; Sphingobacteriia; Sphingobacteriales.
CCCGCUCAGAAACUCAAAUGAAUUCGACGGGGGCCCGCACAAGCGGUGGAGCAUGUGGUUUAAUUCGAUGAUACGCGAGGAACCUUACCUGGGCUCAAAUGUAUGUUGACGUAUUCUGAAAGGGAUACUUCUUCGGACAAUAUACAAGGUGCUGCAUGGUUGUCGUCAGCUCGUGCCGUGAGGUGUCGGGUUAAGUCCCAUAACGAGCGCAACCCCUAUCAUUAGUUGCCAUCAGGUCAAGCUGGGGACUCUAAUGAAACUGCCUACGCAAGUAGUGAGGAAGGUGGGGAUGACGUCAAAUCAGCACGGCCCUUACGUCCAGGGCUACACACGUGCUACAAUGGCCGGUACAGAGCGCAGCGAGGCCGCGAGGCGGAGCGAAUCGCUUAAAGCCGGUCCCAGUACGGAUUGGAGUCUGCAACCCGACUCCAUGAAGUUGGAAUCGCUAGUAAUCGCGCAUCAGCAUGGCGCGGUGAAUACGUUCCCGGGCCUU